UUGGGCUGUGAUGGGGAGUGAAAAUUAUAGUAGCGAAGGUCAUGAUCUCAGACUGCCAAGAAAAGCCUCUAGCCAGGUGAAGGUGCCCGUACCGCAAACCGACACAGGUAGGCGAGAAGAGAAUUCUAAGGCGCGCGGAAGAACUCUCGUUAAGGAACUCGGCAAAAUGACCCCGUAACUUCGGGAGAAGGGGUGCCCCGGUAGUGUGAAUAGCACGAGGGGGCCGCAGUGAAAAGGCCCAAGCGACUGUUUAGCAAAAACACAGGUCUGUGCGAAGCCGCAAGGCGAAGUAUACGGGCUGACGCCUGCCCGGUGCUGGAAGGUUAAGGGGAGUGGUUAGGGGUUUACCCCGAAGCUAUGAACUGAAGCCCCAGUAAACGGCGGCCGUAACUAUAACGGUCCUAAGGUAGCGAAAUUCCUUGUCAGGUAAAUUCUGACCCGCACGAAUGGCGUAACGACUUGGGCGCUGUCUCAACGAGAGAUCCGGUGAAAUUUUAAUACCUGUGAAGAUGCAGGUUACCCGCGACAAGACGGAAAGACCCCAUGGAGCUUUACUGCAGCUUGAUAUUGGACUUUGAUACGAUUUGUACAGGAUAGGUGGGAGCCUAGGAAUCCGGAGCGCCAGCUUCGGUGGAGGCGCCGUUGGGAUACCACCCUGAUCGUAUUGGAGUUCUAACCUGGUACCGUAAUCCGGUGCGGGGACAGUGUCAGGCGGGCAGUUUGACUGGGGCGGUCGCCUCCUAAAGAGUAACGGAGGCGCCCCAAGGUUCCCUCAGAAUGGUUGGAAAUCAUUCGAAGAGUGCAAAGGCAUAAGGGAGCUUGACUGCGAGACUGACAAGUCGAGCAGGGACGAAAGUCGGGCUUAGUGAUCCGGUGGUACCGCAUGGAAGGGCCAUCGCUCAACGGAUAAAAGCUACCCUGGGGAUAACAGGCUUAUCUCCCCCAAGAGUCCACAUCGACGGGGAGGUUUGGCACCUCGAUGUCGGCUCAUCGCAUCCUGGGGCUGAAGUAGGUCCCAAGGGUUGGGCUGUUCGCCCAUUAAAGCGGUACGCGAGCUGGGUUCAGAACGUCGUGAGACAGUUCGGUCCCUAUCUGUCGUGGGCGUAGGAAAUUUGAGAGGAGCUGUCCUUAGUACGAGAGGACCGGGAUGGACGCACCGCUGGUGUACCAGUUGUUCCGCCAGGAGCAUAGCUGGGUAGCUAAGUGCGGUAGGGAUAAGCGCUGAAAGCAUCUAAGCGUGAAGCCCCCCUCAAGAUGAGAUUUCCCAAUUCGUAAGACCCCUUGAAGACGACGAGGUUGAUAGGCCUGAGGUGGAAGUGCAGCAAUGUAUGGAGCUGACAGGUACUAAUCGGUCGAGGGCUUAUCCA
RNAcentral lists this ribosomal RNA (1367 nucleotides) under Paenibacillus antibioticophila. RNAcentral describes it as "bacterial LSU rRNA". It matches the Rfam family "Bacterial large subunit ribosomal RNA", at positions 1556 to 2925 of the family's 2925-position model. The record is from RNAcentral. Lineage: Bacteria; Bacillati; Bacillota; Bacilli; Caryophanales; Paenibacillaceae.